RNAcentral lists this ribosomal RNA (744 nucleotides) under uncultured bacterium. RNAcentral describes it as "bacterial SSU rRNA". It matches the Rfam family "Bacterial small subunit ribosomal RNA", at positions 28 to 769 of the family's 1533-position model. The record is from RNAcentral.
AUUGAACGCUGGCGGCAUGCCUUACACAUGCAAGUCGAACGGUAACGGGCCUUCGGGUGCCGACGAGUGGCGAACGGGUGAGUAAUGUAUCGGAACGUACCUUUCAGUGGGGGAUAACGUAGCGAAAGUUACGCUAAUACCGCAUAUUCUGUGCGCAGGAAAGCAGGGGACCUUCGGGCCUUGCGCUGAUUGAGCGGCCGAUAUCAGAUUAGCUAGUUGGUGAGGUAAAGGCUCACCAAGGCGACGAUCUGUAGCGGGUCUGAGAGGAUGAUCCGCCACACUGGAACUGAGACACGGUCCAGACUCCUACGGGAGGCAGCAGUGGGGAACUUUGGACAAUGGGGGCAACCCUGAUCCAGCCAUGCCGCGUGAGUGAAGAAGGCCUUCGGGUUGUAAAGCUCUUUCGGCCGGGAAGAAAUCGUAUGGGCUAAUACCCUGUGCGGAUGACGGUACCGGCAUAAGAAGCACCGGCUAACUACGUGCCAGCAGCCGCGGUAAUACGUAGGGUGCGAGCGUUAAUCGGAAUUACUGGGCGUAAAGCGUGCGCAGGCGGUUUUGUAAGGCAGGCGUGAAAUCCCCGGGCUCAACCUGGGAACUGCGUUUGUGACUGCAAGGCUAGAGUACGGCAGAGGGGGGUGGAAUUCCACGUGUAGCAGUGAAAUGCGUAGAGAUGUGGAGGAACACCAAUGGCGAAGGCAGCCCCCUGGGUCGAUACUGACGCUCAUGCACGAAAGCGUGGGUAGC